Molecule: ribosomal RNA, 447 nt
Filed under: uncultured bacterium
Lineage: Bacteria
Description: bacterial SSU rRNA
Rfam family: Bacterial small subunit ribosomal RNA
Source: RNAcentral
GAACGGCGGCGCAGGUAUCUAUACCGGGUGGCGAGUGGCGGACGGGUGAGGAAUACAUCGGGACCUGCCCAGACGUGGGGGAUAACGUAGGGAAACUUACGCUAAUACCGCAUACGUCCUACGGGAGAAAGCGGGGGAUCGCAAGACCUCGCGCGGUUGGAUGGACCGAUGUUCGAUUAGCUAGUUGGUAGGGUAACGGCCUACCAAGGCGACGACGGGUAGCCGGCCUGAGAGGGCGACCGGCCACACUGGGACUGAGACACGGCCCAUACUCCUACGGGAGGCAGCAGUGGGGAAUAUUGCGCAAUGGGCGGAAGCCUGACGCAGCGACGCCGCGUGGGGGAUGACGGCCUUCGGGUUGUAAACCCCUUUCAGCAGGGACGAAGCGUGAGUGACGGUACCUGCAGAAGAAGCGCCGGCUAACUACGUGCCAGCAGCCGCGGUAAU